RNAcentral lists this ribosomal RNA (253 nucleotides) under uncultured Alteromonadaceae bacterium. RNAcentral's name for it is "partial 16S ribosomal RNA". It matches the Rfam family "Bacterial small subunit ribosomal RNA", at positions 524 to 776 of the family's 1533-position model. Lineage: Bacteria; Pseudomonadati; Pseudomonadota; Gammaproteobacteria; Alteromonadales; Alteromonadaceae. The record is from RNAcentral.
UACGGAGGGUGCGAGCGUUAAUCGGAAUUACUGGGCGUAAAGCGCGCGUAGGCGGUUUGAUAAGCUGGAUGUGAAAGCCCCGGGCUCAACCUGGGAACUGCAUCCAGAACUGUCUGACUAGAGUACAGUAGAGGUGAGUGGAAUUUCCUGUGUAGCGGUGAAAUGCGUAGAUAUAGGAAGGAACAUCAGUGGCGAAGGCGGCUCACUGGACUGAUACUGACGCUGAGGUGCGAAAGCGUGGGGAGCAAACAGG